This is a long non-coding RNA of Wasmannia auropunctata (little fire ant), 1124 nucleotides long. RefSeq lists it as uncharacterized. The record is from RefSeq and is a predicted model, not a curated record. The transcript is spliced from 2 exons. Lineage: Eukaryota; Metazoa; Arthropoda; Insecta; Hymenoptera; Formicidae.
UACAUUGUAUGUAUGGAUGUAUGUAUGUAUAGGACGCGCGAAUGUAUUUUUACACAUUCGCAUUUUUUAUAAAAACUGUGUGUAUUUCACAUUCUUAUAAUACGAAAAACGAAAAGAAUCUUAAUAUCACGUGUAUAUAAUAUUACAUAUAACAUAUAUUAUGUCAUUGUAUAUGUAUGUAUAGUACAACUUUAUCGACAUUAUCAUGUUAAAACAUCAUACCGAGAAACCGCGAUCGAGAUAUUAUAACUAAGUUAGGUUAACCUUUUUUAAGUUUGUUGCUCGCUCAUCGUGUAUUAUGCAACACAACAACAAUUUAAUCGUAAUGACAUUGUCGUUAAAAGGUACAGAAGUCUAUGUGUUACAGUUGUCUAUCUGUUACAUUUGGUCAAUUUUAGUUGGUCAGUCAACUAAUUACCGUUAUACUAUAUAUACCGUUAAUUACGAAUGCCACGAUAUACGUAUUGUCUCUCUUAUAGUAUUACAAUAUUAAUUAUAGAUGUUAAUAUAAAUAAUACGCGCACUAUUGUAUUAAAUACAAAGAUAUUUUCGAAACGAUAUAUAUGGACAACUAUCUACAUAUGUCAAAAAUAGAAAGGUGCAAAAACCAAUUAAUGAGAUAAUCGUAUCGUUAUACUUAAUUAAGUUAUUACAAUUUUACAAAUAUGUGUAACAAAGUGUGAUUUACAAUAUAUUACGUAAAAAAAACCACAAAGAUGAGAUUUUACGCUGUUAAACAUUAAUUUCUUUUCUUUAUUCUAUGAGCAUCACAUUUUUUGUAAUUAUAUAUAUAGGUCACUGGAUCACACACGCGUGGCAGUUUUAACCGCGCAUCAACGACUGCAUUCCCAAGCGAGUCCGGUACGAGGAUAUGGAUAUGGAGAGAAACGUUGCGAGAGCGUGACCAAAUUACGCGUUCGAUCAAAUCGGUUCACAGUUUUAUAAGCAAGAACAUAUAUGGUUUUAUAGAAAAAUCCCAUUUUGUGUGUAUGCAUACAUAUAACUACAAAUAUCUUUUUUUACAGAUAUAAGAGAACAAUUUUUUCAUAAUGUAUGUUAAAUUAAAUUUUUUAUUUUGAAUCUUAAACUAUCCUAGGAAUUAAAAUCCCUUUUUUUCCAGUACA